This 261-nucleotide ribosomal RNA is filed under the name uncultured bacterium. RNAcentral describes it as "partial 16S ribosomal RNA". It matches the Rfam family "Bacterial small subunit ribosomal RNA", at positions 524 to 777 of the family's 1533-position model. The record is from RNAcentral.
UACGGAGGAUGCAAGCGUUAUCCGGAAUGAUUGGGCGUAAAGCGUCCGCAGGUGGCUGUGUAAGUCUGACUGUCAAAGAGCAAAGCUCAACUUUGUAAAGGCAGUGGAAACUACACGGCUAGAGUGCGUUCGGGGCAGAGGGAAUUACCUGGUGUAGCGGUGAAAUGCGCAGAUAUCAGGAAGAACACCCGUGGCGAAGGCGGCUCUCUGGGACGGGUACUGGACGCUGAGACGCGAAAAGCCGUGGGGGAGCGAACAGGG